Molecule: ribosomal RNA, 1435 nt
Filed under: metagenome
Description: bacterial SSU rRNA
Rfam family: Archaeal small subunit ribosomal RNA
Source: RNAcentral
ACCCGUUGAUCCUGCGGGAGGUCGCUGCUAUCAGAAUUCGACUUAACUAAGCUAGUUCAGGGGCUCCUUCGGGAGCACCGGCAAACAGUUCCGUGACACGUCGAUAAUCUACCCUCAGAUCUGGGAUAACCUUGGGAAACUGAGGCUAAAACCGGAUAGGGGAUUACUACUGGAAUGUUUUUUCCCUUAAAAGUAAUGUCUGAGGAUGAGUCGGCGCCCGAUUAGAUUGUUGGUGGGGUAAUGGCCCACCAAGUCGAAGAUCGGUAGGGGCCUUGAGAGAGGUAGCCCCGAGGAGGACACUGAGAUAAGGGUCCUGACUCUACGGAGUAUAGCAAGUGCGAAACCUUUACACUGCACGAAAGUGUGAUAAGGGGAUUCUGAGUGCUUAUGCUUUGCAUAGGCUUUUAUCAAGUGUAAAAAGCUUGGAGAAUAAGUGGUGGGCAAGACUGGUGCCAGCAGCCGCGGUAACACCAGCGCCACAAGUGGGGACCAGCAUUAUUGGGCUUAAAGCGUUCGUAGUCGGUUUAGUAAAUCCUAUGUGAAAUUGUCUGGCUCAACCAGACAACGUGCAAAGGACACUGCUAGACUUGGGACCGGGAGGUGUCAGAAGUAUUCUUAGGGUAGCGGUAAAAUGCUAUAAUCCUAGGAGGACUACCAGUAGCGAAGGCGUCUGACAAGAACGGGUCCGACGAUGAGGAACGAAAGCCAGGGGAGCGAACCGGAUUAGAUACCCGAGUAGUCCUGGCAGUAAGCGCUGCGAGCUAGGUGUUGCAUAUUCUUCGUGAAUAUGCAGUGUCGAAGCGAAAGUGAUAAGCUCGCCGCCUGGGAAGUACGGUCGCAAGACUGAAACUUAAAGGAAUUGGCGGGGGAGCACAACAAGGGGUGCGGCGUGCGGUUUAAUCCAACUCAACGCGGAGAAUCUCACCAGAGGCGACGGCAGGAUGAAGGUCAGCCUGAAGGGCUUACUUGACGAGCCGAGAGGUGGUGCAUGGCCGUCGUCAGCUCGUGCCGUGAGGUGUCCUGUUAAGUCAGGCAACGAGCGAGACCUGUACUCACAAUUGCCAGCGACAAAUUUUUGGAUCGGGCACAUUGUGGGGACUGCCUUGGAAACAAGGAGGAAGGUGCAGGCAACGGUAGGUCUGUAUGCCCCGAAUCCUCUGGGCUACACGCGCGCAACAAUGAUAAGGACAAAGGGAUGCAACUCCGAAAGGAGAAGCUAAUCCUCCAAACCUUAUCUUAGUACAGAUCGAGGAUUGUAACUCAUCCUCGUGACGAUGGAAUCCCUAGUAAUCAGAUUUUAUCAUAAUCUGGUGAAUAUGUCCCUGCUCCUUGCACACACCGCCCGUCAAACCAACCGAGCAGGGUUUAGGUGAACCCAGCCUUAUGGGCUGGUUGAAUCUGAGCUCAGUGAGGUGGGUUAAGUCGUCACAAGGUA